UACGUAGGGGGCAAGCGUUGUCCGGAAUCAUUGGGCGUAAAGAGCGCGUAGGCGGUCCGGUAAGUCGGUUGUGAAAACUGGGGGCUCAACCCUCAGAGGCCGACCGAUACUGUCGGGCUAGAGUCCGGAAGAGGCGAGUGGAAUUCCUGGUGUAGCGGUGAAAUGCGCAGAUAUCAGGAGGAACACCAAUGGCGAAGGAAGCUCGCUGGGACGGUACUGACGCUGAGGCGCGAAAGCGUGGGGAGCAAACAGG
RNAcentral lists this ribosomal RNA (253 nucleotides) under uncultured bacterium. Its description in RNAcentral is "partial 16S ribosomal RNA". It matches the Rfam family "Bacterial small subunit ribosomal RNA", at positions 524 to 776 of the family's 1533-position model. The record is from RNAcentral.